Molecule: transfer RNA, 72 nt
Filed under: Allocoleopsis franciscana PCC 7113
Lineage: Bacteria; Bacillati; Cyanobacteriota; Cyanophyceae; Coleofasciculales; Coleofasciculaceae
Also listed under: 3 other names
Description: tRNA-Asp (GTC) (tRNA-Asp-GTC-3-1)
Rfam family: tRNA
About the family: Transfer RNA (tRNA) molecules are approximately 80 nucleotides in length.
Source: Rfam by way of RNAcentral
GGCUCCAUCGUCUAGUGGUUAGGACGCUGCUCUGUCGAAGCGGAGACAGGGGUUCAAAUCCCCUUGGGGUCG